RNAcentral lists this long non-coding RNA (3573 nucleotides) under Sus scrofa (pig). Its description in RNAcentral is "lncRNA (ENSSSCG00000052302.1)". Lineage: Eukaryota; Metazoa; Chordata; Mammalia; Artiodactyla; Suidae. The record is from RNAcentral.
GGCAGAUUGUCUCAAGUCACUUAAUCUGUGACAGCACAUUUAUAUAAAUAGCUUUGAAUAGAGUGCUUCUUAACACUUACUUCUACCCCAUUUAACAUGUUUUGAGGAGCAGAGAGUACUUUGAGAGCAACAUUUCAUAAAACUCAGAUGUCUUAUUUACCCACUUCUUCUAGAAGCCUAUUUCACAGAUUAAUCUUUUCUAAAACGGUUUUUUAAAAGCCAGACGAAACCCUCAGAAAGUGAGGAUCCUCUUAGUUCACGACCCUACGCUGCAGUGGAGGAAAAAGUGGCUUUGCAACCCAUAAAAUGUGUUAAUGUAGGGAUAGAAAUCUUUAUCCUUCCACUGAUAGCGGGUCCAAUCAGAAUGGAUUAGGCCCUAAGUAAUCUCACAUUAGUAUUAGAAUAUUUAAAAACAUGUGUAUCCAUUACUGGUACAUUACCCAUGGAGCUUUAUUUCUUGGUAUUAAGACAUAUCCUGACCCCAAAAAUGUUUAGUAGAAAUCACGACUGUAUGUGAAGUUGGGUAGAGAAUAUAGAUUACAACUUACACUUUUUCAAUUAGUAGCAGAGCAAAAAUUUGAUGGCCAUUUGAAAACUGAUUAGUGAGACAGCAGAUUAAGAAGCCGGUACCUCGUGCCAGGGAUUUUGCCUCCCUGCCCCUCCCCCCCUUUGUAGGCCCGAAUCUGCAGCAUAUGGAGUUUCAGGGCUAGGGGUCGAAUCAGAGCUACAGCUGCCUGCCUACACCACAGCCACGCCAGAUCCAAGCCACAUCUGCGACCUACACUACAGCUCACGGCAAUGCUGGAUCCUUAACCCACUGAGUGAGGCCAGGCAUUGAACCCGCAUCCUCAUGGAUACUGGUUGGGUUCUCAACCCACUGAGCCAAGAGGAGAAAACUCCACUACCCUGCCUUUGAAUAUGUUCACUUCCACUACCCUCCACCAUGAUCAAUGAGAGUGUCAGAGUCCAUGACUCAAAAAUCAGGUUAAGAAACAGACUAGCAUCCAUGAGGAUGUGGAUUCAAUCCCUGGCCUUGCUCAAUGGGAUAAGGAUCCAGCAUUGCUGUGAGCCGUGGUGUAGGUUGCAGAUGUAGCGCAGAUCCAGCAUUGCUGUGGCUCUGGCGUAGGCCAGCAGCUGCAGCUGAUCAACCCCUAGGCCGGGAAUUUCCAUAUGCUGCACGUGCAGCCCUAAAAAGCAAAGAAAAAAGCUGGAAAUGGCAUUACAACAGCUUUUUAUAUGGUUAAAUUACAUAUGAGUCAUAUUUUCAGGAGGCAUUUCAAAACGUAUCGCAUUUUCCAUUCACUGCCUAGGUUUUUCCAGUGCCUAGUUGUUACUAGGUACCUCAUUUCUUUAACAUUUUAUUUUGAGCACCUGUCAUUUGCAUUCAUUCUGACAAACUCCAUGAGGUAUACAGCCAUUCUUGCUCUCAGGUAGCUUACAAUCCACGUAAGUAUCAUUCAAGGUUACACGGUGGCACAGUAAAAUUAACACCAAAAAAACCUUCAGCCACAAUAUAUUGCAAAUGUUUCAAUAGACAAGUGGAACAGAUGGUCCCUGUGCUCUCAAGCAUAGCAGGCAGGGGCUCUUAUUGGAUUGGAUUUGAAGCUGUAUGAGAAGGUGUGUACUAAGCUGGUUCGUGGAGGUGGGUGGGAGCAAGUAUGCUGCUGGCUUGGGAGAGCACAAUUUGUAGCAUCUACAAUUUCCAUAAAUAUUCCCACCGUGGCUGAUGGAGAGCUACCAGCCUGACCUCCCUGAAUGGAAAGUGAGAGAGAGACAUUCCAACUGGCUCUUGUGAGCCCAGGCAAGCAGACUCCACCACUACAGAACAGAUGGACAAGUGCAGAAGACUUGUUUUGGUUCAAUGGUGUUUUGAAAAAAAAGAAUGGUGUGGUUUGAGAUUUCCCAAGAAGUAAAAAUGGCAUCUUGCCUCAUCUCUUUUCCCCCCAUCAAGUCCAAAGUCAAGCACAGUCCUAAUUAGAGAUGAAUACUUUUGAAAACCACAAAAGUUCUUUAUUAUAGGUGGCAACACUGACCUAGCCCCAGCAAUGCCUUUGAGGUGCUUUUCCCAGGUGUGAUCGUGGGAGUCUUGCACUGAUCUAUCAACCCCUUCUUUCUCAGCAUCUCUUAGGAGCAGGACACACAUUUCCAAGACCAUGGGCCCAGAUGAGAAAUGCAGGCAGUGUUCCUAAAACAGAUCAAAGUUUCACACAAACACAAAAUUAGACUGGAUUUUAAACUUGGUAGGACUUGGCCGAUUUGCUCUCUUGGUUGGAUGUUUGAAGUGUUUGGUGGGGACCCCAAGUCCUGAUCUCAUCACUCAAGAAAUGCUAAAAUGCCUCUAGUGAAUCUGACUAAUUCACCAUGACUGCUAGAACAGAGGCUUUGGAAACUAAAGGAGUAGCAAAUCUCCUGCAUGAGAUUAGAGCUGGUAGGGGAAUAUUCUGCAGCAGCUGCUUUGGAUAUACAUAUGGAUCCAAAAAAUAAACAUAUUUCUAGCAAUUUUCCAAGUGUGAAUGCAUGGCUGAUGGGGUAAAAAGGCAAUUCAUUGAUUCAGCUCUAGAAGGAAUAGCACAGACCUCAUUUUCCUUGCUUCAAAUGUUGCCUUUAUUUUUCCUUUUCCAUUUUCCCUACCUCAUCCUUUUUUUGCUACCUCCUCCUCCAACCAUGACCCUUAAGAGACAAACCCCCAAGCUUACAAAAACUGUUCUUAAAAGAACUAUUCUGAUAGUUACUGGGAGGAGAUUGCUCCAGUGAUGUCCAGCAAGAGUCAUGAACAUCCACAGCAAUCUUCAACUGCUUGCUGCAAGGCAAAUUUUAGAAAGAAAAUGGCAACCUGGCCCAGACCACAAGGUCAUGUGCUCCUCGAUUCUCAAUUUAUGAGAUGCCAAUACCGCUCCAUCUUGGAGAGCUGCUGGGUCUUCAGAGCCAGAUUUGCAGCUUUGAUUGUGGCUUUUCACCUCUGUUUGAAUCACCUGAAUUUUUUUUUUCCAACACAAAUAUUUAUCGAGCAUCUCCUCUGGCCAAGCACUAAUCUUGGGGCCUUGUGCUAUUCACAUGUGUCCCCAAGGAAAGAGCCCCUGUCCACAAUAUCAUGGGCUGAUUUUGGAUGGGGCAGCAGGUUUACAAAGAAGAGUCAAAAGACUGAAGGCAAAAAUUCUAUAAUUCUAGACCCACUGCCCAUUCUUUGGCUAUUGUUCACAUCCAUCACCCACUGAUGUCCCAUUUUCAUGCUAAGUUGUAAUAAUGACCUUUGAUCAAACAUUGCACUUUCCAGAAAGGACCUCCAAAGUACCAGACUCUUAGGAAUGGAAUGAGCUGGGAGAUUAAGAGAAAUACUAACUUACCCGACAGAAGGAAUGGGGAGCUCAAAUACUUAAAACAGAAGAAAGAUGACUGAUUUCUGAGUAAAUAUGAAGCACCCAGCUGAUAGCGUUUUGCACGUUACUAGGGCAAUAAAGUACACAACCAGGAUAGUCUUUCAUUGUCUAGGAUUGGUGGGUCACAGUAAUAAGUGGACUUUUAGUUGGUUUUACUGUUUUUAGAUUCUCCCCAAAGAACACACCUUCCUUUUGC